Molecule: long non-coding RNA, 1212 nt
Filed under: Anolis carolinensis (green anole)
Lineage: Eukaryota; Metazoa; Chordata; Lepidosauria; Squamata; Anolidae
Description: lncRNA (ENSACAG00000040245.1)
Source: RNAcentral
AUAAAUUUAGCACCAAAAUAUCACGAUAUAUUGAAAACAUUAACUACAAAAAUGGCUUGGAUAAUCCAGAACCUUGGAUAAGCGAGUCUUGGAUAAGUGAGACUGUACUGUAUUAUUAUUACAUGUAUUAUUUUCCUGUAUUUAUUAUUAUUAUUAUUACAUGUAUUAUUUUACUUUAUUGUUAUUAAAAGGAUACAUAAGUACAUUUACAUUGAAGAAGAUGAGAAUAAUGAUUUGAUCAGAGUUGGACAGUCUUAUCUUUAAAUUUGAGCUUUAUGUAAAUAUUCAAAAACAUUUCACCUACCGAUGCCUCUAUUAAUGUAAUUUUAUUGGUACAGUAGAGUCUCCCUUAUCCAACACUCGCUUAUCCAACUUUCUGGAUUAUCUAACGCAUUUUUGUAGUCAAUGUUUUCAAUAUAUCGUGAUAUUUUGGUGCUAAAUUCAUAAAUACAGUAAUUACUACAUAGCAUUACUGCAUAUUGAACUACUUUUUCUGCCAAAUUUGUUGUACAACAUGAUGUUUUGGUGCUUAAUUUGUAAAAUCAUAACCUAAUUUGAUGUUUAAUUGGCUUUUUCUUAAUGCCUCCUUAUUAUCCAACAUAUUUGCUUAUCCAACAUUCUGCCGGCCCGUUUAUGUUGGAUAAGUGAGAUUCUACUGUGUAUGUGUGUGUGUGUGUAUAUAUAUAUAUACAUGCAUAGCAUGUUACAUGCAGAGACCACCUUUUGAAAACCACUAGUCAACAAAAGUAUGACUUUGUUAGAAGUCAAUCAUUUGAAGAAGUGGUAUUUAUAAUUGUUUGUGUAAUGGCACACAGGUGACUCAGCUGUUAGACUGAAGAACCAUGUCUUUGAAUUGUCACUAAGAAAUAAAAAAUAAAUAAAGGAAAUCUGCUCCCUCUUCCUUAGGUCCUCCCUUCAGAUAUUUAAACGUGGCUGUCAUGUCUCCUCUCCUUUCGACCACACUGAAUUCUUGCAUUUCUUCUUUUUUUCCAAAGGCCGAAACCGCAGAGAUGGAUGGGUUUCAGGCAGACACGGAGGAAGACGACGAGGACGAUUGCAUCCUUGUGGAGCCGCAUCCCAAGAAAGCAACCGACCCGAAGCCCUCCGAACCCUUUCCGAAGAUGGAGCAAACGGAUGGGGUUGUGGCCUGAGCUUGUCCGCCUUUCCGUUGCUCUGUAUGUAUGUAGAAUCCUUGUAGCCCGUUGUAAAACC